This 274-nucleotide long non-coding RNA is filed under the name Mytilus galloprovincialis (Mediterranean mussel). The record is from RNAcentral. Lineage: Eukaryota; Metazoa; Mollusca; Bivalvia; Mytilida; Mytilidae.
GGGUGGUAAAGGGUUAUUUUCGUGCAACGUUUUCGGCCUUUUUAUUUCACGUAUUUUCGUGUUUUAACGUUUUAUUUCUCGUUUUCUCGUGUUUGGAUCGAUUUGCGUGCUUCGUGUUUUCCCUUAUUUAUUUUCCGUGUUUCGUUUCAGCAUAGUCAGUGCUCUUAAUUUCUCGUGCAGGUCCCGAAUUUGAUUAAAAAGUCAGUGUUUUAUAAUACCUUCUGAAACUUGUGUAAACUUAUAGAAACUGAUGUAUAUAUUGUUACCAUUCUAC